AGAGCGAACGCUGGCGGCAGGCCUAACACAUGCAAGUCGAGCGCCCGUAGCAAUACGGGAGCGGCAGACGGGAUAGUAACACGUGGGAACGCGCCCUUCGGUUCGGAAUAACUCAGGGAAACUUGAGCUAAUACCGAAUACGCCCUUACGGGGAAAGAUUUAUUGCCGAAGGAACGGCCCGCGUCCGAUUAGCUAGUUGGUGAGGUAAUGGCUCACCAAGGCUACGAUCGGUAGCUGGUCUGAGAGGAUGACCAGCAUCACUGGGACUGAGACACGGCCCAGACUCCUACGGGAGGCAGCAGUGGGGAAUAUUGGACAAUGGGCGAAAGCCUGAUCCAGCCAUGCCGCGUGGAUGAUGAAGGCCUUAGGGUUGUAAAGUCCUUUUAACGGGGAAGAUAAUGACGGUACCCGUAGAAUAAGCCCCGGCUAACUUCGUGCCAGCAGCCGC
This 448-nucleotide ribosomal RNA is filed under the name uncultured bacterium. RNAcentral describes it as "SSU rRNA". It matches the Rfam family "Bacterial small subunit ribosomal RNA", at positions 26 to 518 of the family's 1533-position model. The record is from RNAcentral.